Molecule: ribosomal RNA, 304 nt
Filed under: uncultured bacterium
Lineage: Bacteria
Description: partial 16S ribosomal RNA
Rfam family: Bacterial small subunit ribosomal RNA
Source: RNAcentral
CAGCAGCAGCCGCGGGAAUACGGAGGGUGCAAGCGUUAAUCGGAAUUACUGGGCGUAAAGCGCACGCAGGCGGUUUGUUAAGUCAGAUGUGAAAUCCCCGAGCUUAACUUGGGAACUGCAUUUGAAACUGGCAAGCUAGAGUCUUGUAGAGGGGGGUAGAAUUCCAGGUGUAGCGGUGAAAUGCGUAGAGAUCUGGAGGAAUACCGGUGGCGAAGGCGGCCCCCUGGACAAAGACUGACGCUCAGGUGCGAAAGCGUGGGGAGCAAACAGGAUUAGAUACCCGCGUAGUCCCUGUCUCUUAUAC